RNAcentral lists this ribosomal RNA (267 nucleotides) under uncultured bacterium. RNAcentral's name for it is "partial 16S ribosomal RNA". It matches the Rfam family "Bacterial small subunit ribosomal RNA", at positions 793 to 1055 of the family's 1533-position model. The record is from RNAcentral.
GUCCACGCUGUAAACGAUGUGUGCUAGACGUUGGGGAGCCUAGCUCUUCGGUGUCGCAGCUAACGCGGUAAGCACACCGCCUGGGGAGUACGGCCGCAAGGUUAAAACUCAAAGGAAUUGACGGGGGCCCGCACAAGCGGUGGAGCAUGUGGUUCAAUUCGACGCAACGCGAAGAACCUUACCAGCCCUUGACAUGUCCCGUAUGGGCCGGAGAGAUCCGGUCCUUCAGUUCGGCUGGCGGGAAUACAGGUGCUGCAUGGCUGUCGU